AUACGGAGGGGGCUAGUGUUAUUCGGAAUUACUGGGCGUAAAGGGUACGUAGGCGGUCAACUAAGUUGAAAGUGAAAUCCCAAAGCUUAACUUUGGAAUGGCUUUCAAAACUAGUUAACUCGAGUUCGAUAGAGGAUAGUGGAAUUUCUAGUGUAGAGAUAGAAUUCAUAAAUAUUAGAAGGAACACCAGUGGCGAAGGCGACUAUCUGGAUCGAAACUGACGCUGAGGUACGAAAGCAUGGGGAGCAAACGGGAUUAGAUACCCCAGUAGUCC
Molecule: ribosomal RNA, 274 nt
Filed under: uncultured bacterium
Lineage: Bacteria
Description: partial 16S ribosomal RNA
Rfam family: Bacterial small subunit ribosomal RNA
Source: RNAcentral